UGGUGGAGUGAUUUGUCUGCUUAAUUGCGAUAACGAACGAGACCUUGACCUGCUAAAUAGCUAGGCUAGCUUUGGCUGGUCGCCGGCUUCUUAGAGGGACUAUCGGCUCAAGCCGAUGGAAGUUUGAGGCAAUAACA
This 137-nucleotide ribosomal RNA is filed under the name uncultured eukaryote. Its description in RNAcentral is "partial 18S ribosomal RNA". It matches the Rfam family "Eukaryotic small subunit ribosomal RNA", at positions 1299 to 1458 of the family's 1831-position model. The record is from RNAcentral.